AUACUUAUCUGACAGGAGAGCUACCAUGAUCACAAAGGUAGUUUUCCCAGGGAGAGGCUUAUCCAUUGCACUCUAGAUGUGCUGAAUCCUGCGAUUUCCCUAUUUCCCCAAACGUGGGAUGCUUAAAUGCCUAAUUUGUUGUAGUGGGGGACUGUGUUCACACUCUCCCCUA
Small nuclear RNA from Nannospalax galili (Upper Galilee mountains blind mole rat), 172 nucleotides. Its record names the gene U1. It matches the Rfam family "U1 spliceosomal RNA". From Rfam's summary of the family: U1 is a small nuclear RNA (snRNA) component of the spliceosome (involved in pre-mRNA splicing). The record is from Ensembl. Lineage: Eukaryota; Metazoa; Chordata; Mammalia; Rodentia; Spalacidae.